GACGAACGCUGGCGGCGUGCCUAAUACAUGCAAGUUGAGCGCUGAAGGUUGGUACUUGUACCGACUGGAUGAGCAGCGAACGGGUGAGUAACGCGUGGGGAAUCUGCCUUUGAGCGGGGGACAACAUUUGGAAACGAAUGCUAAUACCGCAUAAAAACUUUAAACACAAGUUUUAAGUUUGAAAGAUGCAAUUGCAUCACUCAAAGAUGAUCCCGCGUUGUAUUAGCUAGUUGGUGAGGUAAAGGCUCACCAAGGCGAUGAUACAUAGCCGACCUGGGAGGGUGAUCGGCAACAUUGGGACUGAGACACGGCCCAAACUCCUACGGGAGGCAGCAGUAGGGAAUCUUCGGCAAUGGACGAAAGUCUGACCGAGCAACGCCGCGUGAGUGAAGAAGGUUUUCGGAUCGUAAAACUCUGUUGGUAGAGAAGAACGUUGGUGAGAGUGGAAAGCUCAUCAAGUGACGGUAACUACCCAGAAAGGGACGGCUAACUACGUGCCAGCAGCCGCAGUAA
This 513-nucleotide ribosomal RNA is filed under the name uncultured bacterium. RNAcentral describes it as "partial 16S ribosomal RNA". It matches the Rfam family "Bacterial small subunit ribosomal RNA", at positions 28 to 523 of the family's 1533-position model. The record is from RNAcentral.